Long non-coding RNA from Wyeomyia smithii (pitcher-plant mosquito), 1280 nucleotides. RefSeq lists it as uncharacterized. The record is from RefSeq and is a predicted model, not a curated record. Lineage: Eukaryota; Metazoa; Arthropoda; Insecta; Diptera; Culicidae. The transcript is spliced from 3 exons.
UAAGCACUACGACUGAGCGGUUGAGUUGUCUUCAAAAUAAAUAUUCUAGUUUUGACGCGGCACGCGGCACAAAUAAACCCAUUAGAUUUUUUAAAAAAUGACCUGGCGACGCUGCACACUACAACAAACAUCCGCCAGUCCAAACGUUUGUUUGUAAGGCAAAGGUUGAUCCAAGUAUGAUGACAGUUCUACAAGGUAUGCCACAUUUUUGUCUAUCCACGCACACAAACAAAUCUCGUUAUGAAAAAUUUCGUUUUUUGUAUGGAAUUCGGAACAUUUUCGGAAAUUUCUCGUUUUAUGUUGUUUUAUAUUUGAUUUUUUUAAUUGGAGAGUGAAUCUCCAGUUGUAACACACUAGAAAUUGAUAUUAAUUUAGAUUUAGUGUGAAAAAUUGCGACAAUAUGUCGAAAUAAAAUAUAUAAAUAAGCUAUAUUUCUAAUAGUUGGAGCAUAAUCUUAGUCAUUGUCAUAGCUCAUGACUUUUGUUACUGUAUGAAACACAAGCGACUCAAUUUAGAAGCGCUAUUAGCCUACAAUAAAAAAACGAAAAGUGCAAAAAGGUUACCGGCAAAUUGAUGAAAAAUAGCAUAUUUUACCUAAACCGCAGCAAGUUUAUGUAUUCCCCACAAAUAAAACAUGUUUCAACAUCAUUUCUAUAACUUUUCAGGAAAGCAUGUUUUAUAAGUUUAGUUUAAAAUGCAAAAUCAUUUCAAAUUUCAUACAAAAUUGGAAAAAGUUCAUAACGAUCACUAAUACUAAUGCAUCGACGUGAAUAGCAUACCUUGUAGAACUGUCAUCAUACUUGGAGGGUUGAUCUGCAGCACUUGAUACAAGUGAGUCCAGAUGCACACUGCCAAACAAAACACAAAAAAAAAAACAAAUCUAUUCGAUUGAAGUGUAAACAGAGGAAUAGCUAUUUCAUAACACUUCAUGCCAGUGGAUUCAGAGAGUUGUCAGAGUUGGCUCAGUUCAAACGUUCGAUGGACCCGUGAGAAGGCUCUGCAGCGCCUAAUACCAGCGAGUCCGCAUGCAUACUGCUACAGCUGUUCAAGUCCAAUCAUUCGAAUAUGGACGUUACAGCAAAACAGCAAUGGGGUUCGAAAGAACCAUUCAAUGAUGCAGUAGAUCAACAGGAUUUACGCCGUGAAUGGGAGGAAUGGAGAAGAUCCGCCCCCAGAGGUAGCGGAGUACGAUAAUGCUAUAAAACGGUUAAAUAAAUUCUUCAUUGGUAAAAGAAAUGAUCGAGUUGAGCUCGAAGAAUUUCGUUCACUGGAACAACGCA